RNAcentral lists this ribosomal RNA (498 nucleotides) under uncultured bacterium. Its description in RNAcentral is "partial 16S ribosomal RNA". It matches the Rfam family "Bacterial small subunit ribosomal RNA", at positions 30 to 523 of the family's 1533-position model. The record is from RNAcentral.
AUUGAACGCUGGCGGCAUGCCUUACACAUGCAAGUCGAACGGCAGCACGGGGCAACCUGGUGGCGAGUGGCGAACGGGUGAGUAAUGCAUCGGAACGUACCUUUCAGUGGGGGAUAACGUAGCGAAAGUUACGCUAAUAUCACAUAUUCUGUGAGCAGGAAAGCAGGGGAUCGCAAGACCUUGCGCUGAUUGAGCGGCCGAUGUCAGAUUAGCUAGUUGGUGAGGUAAAGGCUCACCAAGGCGACGAUCUGUAGCGGGUCCGAGAGGAUGAUCCGGCACACUGGAACUGAGACACGGUCCGGACUCCUACGGGAGGCAGCAGUGGGGAAUUUUGGACAAUGGGGGCAACCCUGAUCCAGCCAUGCCGCGUGAGUGAAGAAGGCCUUCGGGUUGUAAAGCUCUUUCGGCCGGGAAGAAAUCGCACGGGCUAAUACCCUGUGUGGAUGACGGUACCGGAAUAAGAAGCACCGGCUAACUACGUGCCAGCCGCCGCCGUAA